UACAGAGGUGGCAAGCGUUGUUCGGAAUUACUGGGCGUAAAGCGUGCGCAGGCGGUUAUGCAAGACAGAUGUGAAAUCCCCGGGCUUAACCUGGGAACCGCAUUUGUGACUGCAUAGCUGGAGUACGGCAGAGGGGGAUGGAAUUCCGCGUGUAGCAGUGAAAUGCGUAGAUAUGCGGAGGAACACCGAUGGCGAAGGCAGUCCCCUGGGCCUGUACUGACGCUCAUGCACGAAAGCGUGGGGAGCAAACAGG
This 253-nucleotide ribosomal RNA is filed under the name uncultured bacterium. RNAcentral's name for it is "partial 16S ribosomal RNA". It matches the Rfam family "Bacterial small subunit ribosomal RNA", at positions 524 to 776 of the family's 1533-position model. The record is from RNAcentral.